This 1122-nucleotide long non-coding RNA is filed under the name Salmo trutta (river trout). Its description in RNAcentral is "lncRNA (ENSSTUG00000022826.1)". Lineage: Eukaryota; Metazoa; Chordata; Actinopteri; Salmoniformes; Salmonidae. The record is from RNAcentral.
AUGGACGUGGGGUCAGCGGUAUUCACAGGGCUGUGUACGGUGUGGUACAGGAAGACCAUACAGCCCUGGACGUGGGGUCAGCGGUAUUCACAGGGCUGUGUACUGUGUGGUACAGGAAGACCAUACAGCCCUGGACGUGGGGUCAGCGGUAUUCACAGGGCUGUGUACUGUGUGGUACAGGAAGACCAUACAGCCCUGGACGUGGGGUCAGCGGUAUUCACAGGGCUGUGUACUGUGUGGUACAGGAAGACCAUACAGCCCUGGACGUGGGGUCAGCGGUAUUCACAGGGCUGUGUACUGUGUGGUACAGGAAGACCAUACAGCCCUGGGCGUGGGGUCAGCGGUAUUCACAGGGCUGUGUACUGUGUGGUACAGGAAGACCAUACAGCCCUGGACGUGGGGUCAGCGGUAUUCACAGGGCUGUGUACUGUGUGGUACAGGAAGACCAUACAGCCCUGGGCGUGGGGUCAGCGGUAUUCACAGGGCUGUGUACUGUGUGGUACAGGAAGACCAUACAGCCCUGGACGUGGGGUCAGCGGUAUUCACAGGGCUGUGUACUGUGUGGUACAGGAAGACCAUACAGCCCUGGACGUGGGGUCAGCGGUAUUCACAGGGCUGUGUACUGUGUGGUACAGGAAGACCAUACAGCCCUGGACGUGGGGUCAGCGGUAUUCACAGGGCUGUGUACUGUGUGGUACAGGAAGACCAUACAGCCCUGGACGUGGGGUCAGCGGUAUUCACAGGGCUGUGUACUGUGUGGUACAGGAAGACCAUACAGCCCUGGGCGUGGGGUCAGCGGUAUUCACAGGGCUGUGUACUGUGUGGUACAGGAAGACCAUACAGCCCUGGACGUGGGGUCAGCGGUAUUCACAGGGCUGUGUACUGUGUGGUACAGGAAGACCAUACAGCCCUGGGCGUGGGGUCAGCGGUAUUCACAGGGCUGUGUACUGUGUGGUACAGGAAGACCAUACAGCCCUGGACGUGGGGUCAGCGGUAUUCACAGGGCUGUGUAGUACAGGAAGACCAUACAGCCCUGGACGUGGGGUCAGCGGUAUUCACAGGGCUGUGUACUGUGUGGUACAGGAAGACCAUACAGCCCUGGACGUGGGGUCCUCGCUGUAG